Molecule: ribosomal RNA, 444 nt
Filed under: uncultured bacterium
Lineage: Bacteria
Description: partial 16S ribosomal RNA
Rfam family: Bacterial small subunit ribosomal RNA
Source: RNAcentral
CCAGCUCCUACGGGAGGCAGCAGUGGGGAAUAUUGCACAAUGGGGGGAACCCUGAUGCAGCGACGCCGCGUGGGUGAAGAAGUCAUUCGUGACGUAAAGCCCUAUCAGCAGGGAAGAAAAUGACGGUACCUGACCAAGAAGCCCCGGCUAACUACGUGCCAGCAGCCGCGGUAAUACGUAGGGGGCAAGCGUUGUCCGGAUUUACUGGGUGUAAAGGGAGCGUAGACGGCAGCGCAAGUCUGGAGUGAAAUGCCGGGGCCCAACCCCGGAACUGCUUUGGAAACUGUGCAGCUCGAGUGCAGGAGAGGUAAGCGGAAUUCCUAGUGUAGCGGUGAAAUGCGUAGAUAUUAGGAGGAACACCAGUGGCGAAGGCGGCUUACUGGACUGUAACUGACGUUGAGGCUCGAAAGCGUGGGGAGCAAACAGGAUUAGAUACCCCGGUAC